CCUACGGGGGGCUGCAGUGAGGAAUAUUGGUCAAUGGACGAGAGUCUGAACCAGCCAAGUAGCGUGAAGGAUGACUGCCCUAUGGGUUGUAAACUUCUUUUAUAUGGGAAUAAAUUGUUCCACGUGUGUGAUUUUGUAUGUACCAUAUGAAUAAGGAUCGGCUAACUCCGUUCCAGCAGCCGCGGUAAUACGGAGGAUCCGAACGUUGUCCUGAUAUAUUUGGUUUAAAGGGAACGUAGGUGGAUUUGUAAGUCAGUUGUGAAAGUUUGGGGCUGAACCGUCAAAUUGCAGUUGAAACUAGCAGACUUGAGUAAAGUAGAGGUGGGCGGAAUUCGAGGUGUAGCGGUGAAAUGCGUAGAUAUCACGAAGAACUCCGAUUGCGAAGGCAGCUUACUGGACUGCAACUGACACUGAGGCACGAAAGUGUGGGUAUCAAACAGGAUUAGAUACCCGGGUAGUC
This 460-nucleotide ribosomal RNA is filed under the name uncultured bacterium. Its description in RNAcentral is "partial 16S ribosomal RNA". It matches the Rfam family "Bacterial small subunit ribosomal RNA", at positions 338 to 795 of the family's 1533-position model. The record is from RNAcentral.